UACGUAGGGCGCAAGCGUUGUCCGGAAUCAUUGGGCGUAAAGAGCUCGUAGGCGGCCUGUUGCGUCCGCUGUGAAAUCCCGGGGCUUAACCCCGGGCGUGCAGUGGAUACGGGCUGGCUGGAGGCAGGCAGGGGAGAACGGAAUUCCCGGUGUAGCGGUGAAAUGCGCAGAUAUCGGGAGGAACACCGGUGGCGAAGGCGGUUCUCUGGGCCUGUACUGACGCUGAGGAGCGAAAGCGUGGGGAGCGAAUAGG
This 253-nucleotide ribosomal RNA is filed under the name uncultured bacterium. Its description in RNAcentral is "partial 16S ribosomal RNA". It matches the Rfam family "Bacterial small subunit ribosomal RNA", at positions 524 to 776 of the family's 1533-position model. The record is from RNAcentral.